UCCGCCCCGCCGCCCGGAGCCGGAAGACGGCGAAGGGAGGAGAGGCGCAUGCGCCCUGCGGCUCUCUGGACUCCUUCCCCACUUUUCCGCCCCGCCGCCCGGAGCCGGAAGACUGCGAGGGGAGGUGAGGCGCAUGCGCCCUGCGGCUCUCUGGAUCUGUCCCCCACUCUUCCGCCCCGCCGCCCGGAGCCGGAAGACGGCGAGGGGAGGAGAGGUGGGUGCGCCUAGCGGCUCCCUGGACCCGCCGCCCGGAGCCGGAAGGCGGGAGCGUAGGAGAUGCGCAUGCGUCCUGCGCCUCCCGACUCCCUGGACCCGCCUCCAUUCUCCCGCCCGAGUGUGCUCAGGCAUCAAGCUACCUGCUCUGAUGUGGAAGGUUACCCUGAAUACUGCAGAGCUGUACAAAAAGAAGAGCUGAAGUCUGGGCCACGAAGACUAGUCAAUACCUUGACAACACAGGGCUUUUGGACGCUAUCAGCUGUCACUGACACGUGUGAUAUCAUAUACUUGAAAGCAGUGCUCACCAAAGAUGUCUGAGCAGUUCUUGGGAGAAAAACAGUAAGGUGGCAGAAGUUUUAGCAGUGGAAGUUAAUAUAAUUUAAGGCCAAGAUGGAUAUUAUGGGAUCAAAUUUAGCAUCCAGCCCCAAUUCUGAAACUUCCACUUGGCUCAGCUGUUGGCAGUCAUGACUAAGAAUGGGUUGAAGUGUUAAAAGGAAAAGAAGCACAUGACAUACAUCUUUCUGGCAACAGUCCUGUUGUAAAUGUCAUAAUCCAAAAGGGGAGGAGCUGGAGGGUUGUUAUUUGCAUAAUUACAGUCACUCAUGAAGUUUCCGGUGUUAGGCACAAUCAGGUAUAAGAAUUUAAAAGUGCCUUCAACCUUAAGAUUCUUUCAUGACUCUAGCUCCUCAGGGCCCCGUCUGGCUAAACGAGGCAAAGAUGAAGCCCAACUCAAGAAAUAAGUAACUUGACGAUGGGAGGACUGACAUUAUUCAA
This is a long non-coding RNA of Eptesicus fuscus (big brown bat), 990 nucleotides long. RefSeq lists it as uncharacterized. NCBI's taxonomy places the organism in Eukaryota, Metazoa, Chordata, Mammalia, Chiroptera, Vespertilionidae. The transcript is spliced from 3 exons. The record is from RefSeq and is a predicted model, not a curated record.